AUUACUCCUACGGGAGGCAGCAGUCGAGAAUUUUUCUCAAUGGGCGAAAGCCUGAAGGAGCGACGCCGCGUGGGGGAUGAAUGGCUUCGGCCCGUAAACCCCUGUCAUUUGCGAUCAAACCUUACGACCUAACACGUCGUGAGCUGAUAGUAGCGGAAGAGGAAGGGACGGCUAACUCUGUGCCAGCAGCCGCGGUAAUAAU
Molecule: ribosomal RNA, 202 nt
Filed under: uncultured bacterium
Lineage: Bacteria
Description: partial 16S ribosomal RNA
Rfam family: Bacterial small subunit ribosomal RNA
Source: RNAcentral